GACGAACGCUGGCGGCGGGCCUAACACAUGCAAGUCGAACGGAACUGUUUUGAAAGCUUUCUUCGGCAUGAAUCGGAUUUAGUUUAGUGGCGGACUGGUGAGUAAUGCGUUAGUAACCUGCCUUCAAGAGGGGAAUAACAUUCUGAAAAGAAUGCUAAUACUGCAUGACAUAUCGGGACCACAUGGUAUUUUUCUCAAAGAUUUUAUCGCUUGAAGAUGGACUCGCGUCCGAGUAGAUAGUUGGAGAGAUAACGGCUCACCGAGACCGCGAUCGGUAGCCGGACUGAGAGGUCGCACGGCCGCCUUGGGACUGAGACACGGCCCGGACACCUACGGGAGGCAGCAGUGGCGUAUACUACGCAAUGCGCGCAACUCUGACGCAGCUUCGCCGCGUAAAGCACGUAUGUUUUCGAAGUGUAAAAUUAUUUUAUUAAGGACGAAAAAUGACGGUACUUAAUGAAUAAGCUCCGGCUAACUACGUG
This 482-nucleotide ribosomal RNA is filed under the name uncultured bacterium. RNAcentral describes it as "partial 16S ribosomal RNA". It matches the Rfam family "Bacterial small subunit ribosomal RNA", at positions 28 to 507 of the family's 1533-position model. The record is from RNAcentral.